CCUACGGGAGGCUGCAGUGGGGAAUAUUGGACAAUGGGGGAAACCCUGAUCCAGCGACGCCGCGUGGGUGAAGAAGGCCUGCGGGUUGUAAAGCCCUUUCGGUUGGGAAGAAAAGUUGCGACCUAACACGUCGCGACCUUGACGUAACCAACUAAAGAAGCACCGGCUAACUCUGUGCCAGCAGCCGCGGUAAUACAGAGGGUGCGAGCGUUAAUCGGAAUUACUGGACGUAAAGUGGCAGUUCGGGUGUGAAAUCCCCGGGCUCAACCUGGGAACUGCAUUCGAGACUGCUUUGCUAGAGUAUGGGAGAGGGAAGUGGAAUUUCCGGUGUAGCGGUGAAAUGCGUAGAUAUCGGAAGGAACAUCAGUGGCGAAAGCGACUUCCUGGACCAAUACUGACGCUCAUGUGCGAAAGCGUGGGGAGCAAACAGGAUUAGAUACCCCAGUAGUC
Molecule: ribosomal RNA, 450 nt
Filed under: uncultured bacterium
Lineage: Bacteria
Description: partial 16S ribosomal RNA
Rfam family: Bacterial small subunit ribosomal RNA
Source: RNAcentral